UGCAUUCACUACUGUAAGUCGCUCUGGAUAAGAGCGUCUGCUAAAAAUGACUAAAA
Salmo salar (Atlantic salmon) is the source of this 56-nucleotide non-coding RNA. Lineage: Eukaryota; Metazoa; Chordata; Actinopteri; Salmoniformes; Salmonidae. The record is from Rfam.